RNAcentral lists this microRNA precursor (165 nucleotides) under Oryza meridionalis. RNAcentral's name for it is "MIR812 microRNA precursor family". It matches the Rfam family "MIR812 microRNA precursor family". The record is from Rfam by way of RNAcentral. Lineage: Eukaryota; Viridiplantae; Streptophyta; Magnoliopsida; Poales; Poaceae.
UAUAAGUUUCUGUUUCAACGUUCGUCUUAUUUAAAUUUUUUUUACAAUUAGUAUUUUUUGUUGUUAUGAGAUAAUAAAACAUGAAUAGUACUUUAUUUGUGACUUGUGUUUUUAAAUAAGAUGAACGAUUAAAGUUUAGUGUGAAAAAUUAUAGCUGCACUUAGA